GAUGAACGCUGGCGGCGUGCCUAAUACAUGCAAGUCGAGCGAACAGACGAGGAGCUUGCUCCUCUGACGUUAGCGGCGGACGGGUGAGUAACACGUGGAUAACCUACCUAUAAGACUGGGAUAACUUCGGGAAACCGGAGCUAAUACCGGAUAAUAUAUUGAACCGCAUGGUUCAAUAGUGAAAGACGGUUUUGCUGUCACUUAUAGAUGGAUCCGCGCCGCAUUAGCUAGUUGGUAAGGUAACGGCUUACCAAGGCAACGAUGCGUAGCCGACCUGAGAGCGUGAUCGGCCACACUGGAACUGAGACACGGUCCAGACUCCUACGGGAGGCAGCAGUAGGGAAUCUUCCGCAAUGGGCGAAAGCCUGACGGAGCAACGCCGCGUGAGUGAUGAAGGUCUUCGGAUCGUAAAACUCUGUUAUUAGGGAAGACCAAAUGUGUAAGUAACUAUGCACGUCUUGACGGUACCUAAUCAGAAAGCCACGGCUAACUACGUG
RNAcentral lists this ribosomal RNA (497 nucleotides) under uncultured bacterium. Its description in RNAcentral is "partial 16S ribosomal RNA". It matches the Rfam family "Bacterial small subunit ribosomal RNA", at positions 28 to 507 of the family's 1533-position model. The record is from RNAcentral.